RNAcentral lists this long non-coding RNA (659 nucleotides) under Mus caroli (Ryukyu mouse). RNAcentral's name for it is "predicted gene 42889 (MGP_CAROLIEiJ_G0006358.1)". Lineage: Eukaryota; Metazoa; Chordata; Mammalia; Rodentia; Muridae. The record is from RNAcentral.
AGGUUCAGAAGAUGGGCAGCUGAGGGCAGCCAUCCCUUAACUUAACCUGCAAGGACUGUCCAGUGCUUACAAGGGGCAGCAGCCAUGCCAGAUUACUGCAUCCCUGGCGCAGAGUAUACAGGAGGCACUAGCUUGUAACACAAGCGCUCAAGAUACACAGGAGUAUUUGUCUGAAAGUAUGUGUGUGUGACAUGUGUUUGUAAUGUCCAAGAAGUCUAGAAGGGUGCAUCAAAUUCCCUGAAAAUUGAGUUUUAGACAUUUGUGAACAGAUAUAUCAGUGCUGAAAGAGAACUUGAGAUCCUCUACAAGUACAGCAAGUGCUCUUAACCACUGAGCCAUCUGUCCAGCUCCAGCAAAGGAGCCAUUGGGGAUAUUGUGAUGACUCAGGUUGCACCCUCUGUACCUGUCACUCCUGGAGAGACAGUAUCCAUCUCCUGCAGGUCUAGUAAGAGUCUCCUGAACAGUAAUGGCAAGCAUUUGUUGUAUUGGUUCCUGCAGAGGCCAGGCCAGUCUCCUCAGCGCCUGAUAUAUUAUAUGUCCAACCUUGCCUCAGGAGUCCCAGAAUGGUUCAGUGGCAGUGGGUCAGGAACUGAUUUCACACUGAGAAUCAGUAGGGUGGAGGCUGAGGAUGUGGGUGCUUAUUACUGUAUGCAAAGUCU